AGUGAACGCUGGCGGUAGGCCUAACACAUGCAAGUCGAACGGCAGCACAGUAAGAGCUUGCUCUUACGGGUGGCGAGUGGCGGACGGGUGAGGAAUACAUCGGAAUCUACUUUUUCGUGGGGGAUAAUGUAGGGAAACUUACGCUAAUACCGCAUACGACCUACGGGUGAAAGCAGGGGAUCUUCGGACCUUGCGCGAUUGAAUGAGCCGAUGUCGGAUUAGCUAGUUGGCGGGGUAAAGGCCCACCAAGGCGACGAUCCGUAGCUGGUCUGAGAGGAUGAUCAGCCACACUGGAACUGAGACACGGUCCAGACUCCUACGGGAGGCAGCAGUGGGGAAUAUUGGACAAUGGGCGCAAGCCUGAUCCAGCCAUACCGCGUGGGUGAAGAAGGCCUUCGGGUUGUAAAGCCCUUUUGUUGGGAAAGAAAAGCAGCAGGUUAAUACCCCGCUGUUCUGACGGUACACAAAGAAUAAGCACCGGCUAACUUCGUG
RNAcentral lists this ribosomal RNA (492 nucleotides) under uncultured bacterium. Its description in RNAcentral is "partial 16S ribosomal RNA". It matches the Rfam family "Bacterial small subunit ribosomal RNA", at positions 29 to 507 of the family's 1533-position model. The record is from RNAcentral.